RNAcentral lists this ribosomal RNA (895 nucleotides) under uncultured bacterium. RNAcentral's name for it is "bacterial SSU rRNA". It matches the Rfam family "Bacterial small subunit ribosomal RNA", at positions 8 to 916 of the family's 1533-position model. The record is from RNAcentral.
AGAGUUUGAUCCUGGCUCAGAAUGAACGCUAGCGAUAUGCUUAACACAUGCAAGUCGGACGAGGUAGGUCUCUUCGGGGGUCUAUCGAGUGGCGGACGGGUGAGUAACACGUGGAUGACCUGCCCAGAGAUGGGGGAUACCGCGCAGAAAUGCGCGCUAAGACCGCAUGAGCUGGCCGGCGGCGACGCUGGUCAGGAAAGCUUUUCGGAGCGUCUUUGGAGGGGUCCGCGGCCGAUUAGCUAGUUGGUGGGGUAAGAGCCUACCAAGGCGUCGAUCGGUAGCUGGUCUGAGAGGAUGAUCAGCCACACUGGGAUUGAGAACGGCCCAGACUCCUACGGGGGGCAGCAGUGAGGAAUCUUCGGCAAUGGGCGCAAGCCUGACCGAGCAACGCCGCGUGGAGGAUGACGGCCUUCGGGUUGUAAACUCCUUUUCUUUGGAACGAGAACGGACGGUACCAGAGGAAGAAGUCUCGGCUAACUACGUGCCAGCAGCCGCGGUAAUACGUAGGAGACGAGCGUUGUCCGGAGUUACUGGGCGUAAAGGGUGCGCAGGCGGCCCGCCGCGUGUGGGGUGAAAUCUCCCGGCUCAACUGGGAGGGGGCCCGUGCAAACGGGCGGGCUUGAGGGUCGCAGAGGGGCGUGGAAUUCCGGGUGGAGCGGUGAAAUGCGUAGAGAUCCGGAGGAACACCGACGGCGAAGGCAGCGCCCUGGACGACACCUGACGCUCAGGCACGAAAGCUGGGGGAGCAAACAGGAUUAGAUACCCUGGUAAUCCCAGCGGUAAACGAUGUCCACCAGGCGCCGGGGGUAUCGACCCCUUCGGUGCCGAAGCUAACGUGAUGAGUGGACCGCCUGGGGAGUACGGCCGCAAGGUUAAAACUUAAAGGAAUUGACGG